RNAcentral lists this ribosomal RNA (254 nucleotides) under uncultured bacterium. RNAcentral describes it as "partial 16S ribosomal RNA". It matches the Rfam family "Bacterial small subunit ribosomal RNA", at positions 524 to 776 of the family's 1533-position model. The record is from RNAcentral.
UACGUAGGGUGCGAGCGUUGUCCGGAAUUAUUGGGCGUAAAGAGCUCGUAGGCGGUCUGUCGCGUCUGCUGUGAAAUCCCGAGGCUCAACCUCGGGCUUGCAGUGGGUACGGGCAGGCUAGAGUGCGGUAGGGGAGAAUGGAACUCCUGGUGUAGCGGUGGAAUGCGCAGAUAUCAGGAAGAACACCGAUGGCGAAGGCAGUUCUCUGGGCCGUAACUGACGCUGAGGAGCGAAAGCGUGGGGGAGCGAACAGG